UACGUAGGUGGCAAGCGUUGUCCGGAUUUAUUGGGUUUAAAGGGUGCGUAGGCGGCUUUGUAAGUCAGUGGUGAAAUACUCCAGCUCAACUGGAGAGGUGCCAUUGAUACUGCAGAGCUAGAGUACUGAUGAGGUAGGCGGAAUGGACGGUGUAGCGGUGAAAUGCUUAGAUAUCGUCCAGAACACCGAUAGCGAAGGCAGCUUACUAAAGAGUAACUGACGCUGAGGCACGUAAGUGUGGGGAUCAAACAGG
RNAcentral lists this ribosomal RNA (253 nucleotides) under uncultured bacterium. RNAcentral describes it as "partial 16S ribosomal RNA". It matches the Rfam family "Bacterial small subunit ribosomal RNA", at positions 524 to 776 of the family's 1533-position model. The record is from RNAcentral.